GAGUUUGAUCAUGGCUCAGAGCGAACGCUGGCGGCAGGCCUAACACAUGCAAGUCGAACGGAUCCUUCGGGAUUAGUGGCGGACGGGUGAGUAACACGUGGGAACGUGCCCUUUGGUUCGGAACAACUCAGGGAAACUUGAGCUAAUACCGGAUGUGCCCUUUGGGGGAAAGAUUUAUCGCCAUUGGAGCGGCCCGCGUUGGAUUAGGUAGUUGGUGGGGUAACGGCCUACCAAGCCUACGAUCCAUAGCUGGUCUGAGAGGAUGAUCAGCCACACUGGGACUGAGACACGGCCCAGACUCCUACGGGAGGCAGCAGUGGGGAAUCUUGCGCAAUGGGCGAAGCCUGACGCAGCCAUGCCGCGUGUAUGAUGAAGGUCUUAGGAUUGUAAAAUACUUUCACCGGGGAAGAUAAUGACGGUACCCGGAGAAGAAGCCCCGGCUAACUUCGUGCCAGCAGCCGCGGUA
Molecule: ribosomal RNA, 466 nt
Filed under: uncultured bacterium
Lineage: Bacteria
Description: bacterial SSU rRNA
Rfam family: Bacterial small subunit ribosomal RNA
Source: RNAcentral